GAAAUGCGAUAAGUAGUGUGAAUUGCAGAAUUCAGUGAAUCAUCGAAUCUUUGAACGCACAUUGCGCCCCUUGGUAUUCCAUGGGGCAUGCCUGUUCGAGCGUCGUUUGUACCCUCAAGCUCUGCUUGGUGUUGGGUGUUUGUCCCCGUCUCCGCGCGUGGACUCGCCCCAAAGUGAUUGGCAGCCGGCGUACUGGUCCCGGAGCGCAGCACAUGUCGCGCAAACGAGUGCCUUGGUACGGCGGCGUCCAUAAGCCCCUCUCUCACGCUCUUGACCUCGGAUCAGGUAGGGAUACCCGCUGAACUUAAGC
This 310-nucleotide unclassified non-coding RNA is filed under the name plant metagenome. RNAcentral describes it as "partial contains 5.8S ribosomal RNA, internal transcribed spacer 2, and large subunit ribosomal RNA". The stretch from base 1 to 105 matches the Rfam family "5.8S ribosomal RNA", at positions 50 to 154 of the family's 154-position model. The record is from RNAcentral.